UGUGUGUGUGUGUGUGUGUGUGUGUGUGUGUGUGUAUAUACACAUAUAUGUACACACACACACACACACACACUCA
RNAcentral lists this microRNA precursor (76 nucleotides) under Notamacropus eugenii (tammar wallaby). RNAcentral's name for it is "miRNA (ENSMEUG00000017156.1)". Lineage: Eukaryota; Metazoa; Chordata; Mammalia; Diprotodontia; Macropodidae. The record is from RNAcentral.